GUGGGGAAUUUUGGACAAUGGGCGCAAGCCUGAUCCAGCAAUGCCGCGUGCAGGAAGAAGGCCUUCGGGUUGUAAACUGCUUUUGUACGGAACGAAACGGUCCGGGUUAAUACCCUGGGCUAAUGACGGUACCGUAAGAAUAAGCACCGGCUAACUACGUGCCAGCAGCCGCGGUAAUACGUAGGGUGCAAGCGUUAAUCGGACUUACUGGGCGUAAAGCGUGCGCAGGCGGUUUUGUAAGACAGGCGUGAAAUCCCCGGGCUCAACCUGGGAAUUGCGCUUGUGACGGCAAGGCUGGAGUGCGGCAGAGGGGGAUGGAAUUCCGCGUGUAGCAGUGAAAUGCGUAGAUAUGCGGAGGAACACCGAUGGCGAAGGCAAUCCCCUGGGCCUGCACUGACGCUCAUGCACGAAAGCGUGGGGAGCAAACAGGAUUAGAAACCCGGGUAGUCC
RNAcentral lists this ribosomal RNA (450 nucleotides) under uncultured bacterium. RNAcentral's name for it is "partial 16S ribosomal RNA". It matches the Rfam family "Bacterial small subunit ribosomal RNA", at positions 354 to 796 of the family's 1533-position model. The record is from RNAcentral.